AUCCAGCUGAUGAGUCCAAAAUGGGACGAAACGCGCGUCCUGGAU
Molecule: non-coding RNA, 45 nt
Organism: Schistosoma rodhaini
Lineage: Eukaryota; Metazoa; Platyhelminthes; Trematoda; Strigeidida; Schistosomatidae
Source: Rfam